RNAcentral lists this transfer RNA (74 nucleotides) under Canis lupus familiaris (dog). It matches the Rfam family "tRNA". Rfam says of the family: Transfer RNA (tRNA) molecules are approximately 80 nucleotides in length. Their secondary structure includes four short double-helical elements and three loops (D, anti-codon, and T loops). RNAcentral also lists the same sequence under 3 other names. The record is from Rfam by way of RNAcentral. Lineage: Eukaryota; Metazoa; Chordata; Mammalia; Carnivora; Canidae.
AGCAGGAAAGCAAAAGAGGGAAGAGCAUGUGCUUUCAAAGCAUAAAGACUUAGGUUCAAAUCCUACCCCUGCCA